This 344-nucleotide ribosomal RNA is filed under the name Ixodes scapularis (black-legged tick). RNAcentral describes it as "partial 12S ribosomal RNA". The record is from RNAcentral. Lineage: Eukaryota; Metazoa; Arthropoda; Arachnida; Ixodida; Ixodidae.
AUUAUUUUAAGCUAUAUAUUAGGAGUAAAUAAAAUUUAUGAAAUUAAAAAAUUUUGGCGGUAUUUUAAGCUUAUUAGAGGAAUUUGCUCUGUGAUGGACACAACGCCUUAAUCUUACUUAAUUUAGUAAUUUAAAUCAGUUUGUAUACCACUAUAUUAAUUAUAUUGAAUAGUUAUAUUUAAAAUUUUUUUAAAAAAAUAUAUUAAGUCAAGGUGCAUCUAAUAAUUAUGAAUGAAGUGAAUUACAUUAAUUUUAAUGUAAUUUUUUACAUGAAAAAAUUAAUUAGGAUUUAAUAGUAAAAUACUAAUACUAUGAGUAUUUGAAUCAAGCUCUAAAAUAUGCAC